AUGUACUCUUUCUGGAGCAUGUCUACAAGCUCUACAUGGAAACGAUCUGAAGCUGAAAACAUUGGCAGGGGAUGCAAAAACCAGUCUUUGAUGAACUAUGCCAAAGAAACAGCUGCCUUCUAUUCCCAAAAAUGCUUUGCCCAUAACUAAGCCUACGGAGCCUGUCCCAGCAGCACAGUCAACAAAUGGCAUGCAUGCUUCCUACAGACUCGUCCACCUGAAAUACUCUCUUCUUGCUGAAUUUACCUUGGUUGCGGAGCAGACGUUAUUAGGUGUCUAUGUGCAGCCAUCUUAUCCCUCUGUAUUAAAGUGGUUUGGACUAAUAUUCAUAGGGCACAGACUUUAUCAAGAUGGCAUAUUUAGGAGAUGGUGUAUUUAAGUUUGCAGUUUACAUCCAUCCCUAAUUACUAUCCAGAUGGUGACUAUCCAUGCUUGAUAUUUGGUAUUCCCAUCUUUCACCUACUAGGUGAUGCCACCUCAGAUGAACUGGAUGUGAAGAGCAUUUGGAAAAUGGAGGUGGAAUCAUAACCAAAUUUGGCAAGUACUAACAAUAUGCAGGGAGAGUUUUCUACAAGAUUGAUACAAAAAGCCCCCUAAACCCAGAGGCUGCAAUACUGUAUGAGAAAGAUGUUCAGCUUUUUAAGAGUAAAGUGGUUGACAGUGUUAAGGUAUGUAUUACUCGUCUGUCUGACCAAUUUAAAAUAGAAGACUCAUGCAAUUAGCUUUUCUCCAUGGAAUCCUUCUGUACAUGAUGAAGCCAGAGAAAAGAUGCUGACUCAGAAAAGCCUGAAGAACAGCACAAUAAGUGUACGUGUCGCCGGCCUGUCAUAGGUAAAGCCUGGCUCAGUACAAUCUUUCAGUAAAGAAGAGAAAACAGUAGCAAC
RNAcentral lists this long non-coding RNA (884 nucleotides) under Homo sapiens (human). RNAcentral's name for it is "non-protein coding lnc-ITIH1-2:1". The record is from RNAcentral. Lineage: Eukaryota; Metazoa; Chordata; Mammalia; Primates; Hominidae.